Molecule: long non-coding RNA, 1226 nt
Organism: Folsomia candida
Lineage: Eukaryota; Metazoa; Arthropoda; Collembola; Entomobryomorpha; Isotomidae
Exons: 4
Source: RefSeq, a predicted model, not a curated record
CUAUUUAAAUCCCAUCGAAUCCUGCACAUUCAAUUUAUUGACAGGCAACAACCCUUUGAAAAUAGAAACGUCAUCCUCCCAUCACUAAUUUGAAAUUCCGUCAUUUGCCUCCGUAUCCAGCAUGAUGUACAUAUUCAACUAGAUAAAAUAUCUUUGGAGUUGAAAUUUCUCACCGAGAGCUUCCCAUCAUGGAAGGAGAAUCCACAGCCGACAAGGUUCAUCUCCUUCACUUCUCUAAAACUUUGCCAGUCUGCAUGGUCAAACCUUAGUCUUGGUGUUAAUACUUAUGGAAUGGAUCGGAAUUUUAUGCCGAAGCAACCCUUUCCAUGAUGCAUGACAUGACUUCAUCUGGUUCUCCAUCCUCCCAUAACAAAUCCAAAUCUCAUUCAAAUUUUUAUUCCCUCAAUUUUUGCAUGUCAGAAGAAAAGAGUUGGAGAUUUAUAAAAAUCACGUUUUUUUCAACUCAUACACAACAGCCUAAUCUUUGAGAAGAUGUGAUUUCUAAUGCGAGAAGAAGAGUACCUUUUUGAUCUUAAAGGUUGAUGAUAGCGCAAAUGGUACGCAGGCAAAUGUCAGUUUUUGCUGAUUACAAAAAUCAUCUUGUAAUACUCGAGACGCAUUUGUGAAAGGAGCUGGACUGGAAUUGCUUUGGUUGAAAAGAAGGAGUGAGCAAAUGUUUCACGGCACAAAAGAUUACACUACCUCGGCAUUUUUUCCUACCUGCGUUGCAUUGCAUGGUCACGUCAAGUACCAGAAGAGCUGCUGGAUGGAUUGAAUUAACAUGACACUUGGGAAUGAGCCAUUUAUAAAACAUCAGCCAACGACUCUAAUGUCAUUAAACUUUUGUGACAUUGUAGAGAUUAAGAAGUCAGGAUGAAAUCGUUGUCAUUUGACGCCUUUUCGUCGAGAAGAUCGAUGUGUCUAUGUACGUAUUUAAAUAUGUACACAUACGAGAUCCAGGUUUAAAUUAUUUCCAUUUCGUCUGAAUUAUUUAUUAAGAGAACAAAUUAAUUGAGUCGGGUUACCUGAUUUGCAAACACAAAACCGAAAAAGUGGGUCACACAAUUGUAACCAAAAUUCUGUAAAUUGGAAUUCCUAAUCUAAUCGUGGUUUAGUCAAAUUUCGUAGAUUUUAGUAGAGUUUAUAGCCGAGGACAAGGUAUUAAAUUGAGUCGAGUUGAUCAAUGAGCCCUAUAGUUUUCAUAUAAUAAAUACAUUGCGAAGUAA